This is a long non-coding RNA of Drosophila mojavensis, 1335 nucleotides long. RefSeq lists it as uncharacterized. Lineage: Eukaryota; Metazoa; Arthropoda; Insecta; Diptera; Drosophilidae. The record is from RefSeq and is a predicted model, not a curated record. The transcript is spliced from 2 exons.
UCUCAUUUAAAUUUCAAACGUCAAACGUCAAAGCCCCAUACGAGUUUUCAUUCAGCUCGCAUUUGGUUGAAGUAAAUCGUUCGAUUAGUUUGCUUUAAAAUUGCUAAAAAAAAAGAAGAAAUUUUCGAUUUUAAUUCCGUUGCAUAUUUAAGCUGCUCGCGGUUUCACACACACACACACACACACACACACAUAGUUUUGUAGUUCUUUUCGAUUUGAGUUUGUUAAAUCGCGCUGACACAGCACAGCUGUCAAGCUGUGCAAACUAUGCAAAUCUGUUGUGGCAAACCGGCAACUGAAUAAAGCUUCUCGAGCAUCCCAGCUAUCCCGGGCAUGGUAAGCGGCUGAAGUAGUGGAGCCGCGCGUAAUUAAGGAUUCGUGAAUACUUUUGGUGUGAUAAGCGCUCGAACAGUGCUUCGGACACGUCUGUGAUAUACGCAUAAUUUUGCAAACGGACAAUACGCCUGCCUGUCACGCCCACUUGACUCACGCCUGAGCUCGCCUUUACCACCUUGACAAAAUUUUCCUUCGAUACAUUGAGAAAGCUGUAAGCCGCAACUGAAUACGAAGUAUGACUGUUAGUCGAUGCCGUAGUCGGAGUCCGUUUUGGAUUCGGAGUGGCAGUCCGGUUUGGAUUCGGAGUCAGAGUUGGAGUCGGAGUCCGAAUGUGCGUCGCAAUUUGGGUCGAAAUAUGAGUCGGAGUCGGAGUCCCAGUCGGAGCCUGAGUCCCAAUCGGAGUCUGAGUCGUAGUCGGAGUCGGAGUCGGAGACUUAGUCGAAGUCGGGGAGUUAGUCGGAGUCGAAGUACGAGUCGAUGCCGUACAUUUAGACGAAGUCUGAAUCGUUUUACCCGAAGUCGGAGUGUGAGUCGAAGCCUGAGUCGGGAUCGGAGUUGGACUCGGAGUCGGAGUCUGAGUAGAAGUCUCAGUCCAAGUCGGAGUCCAAGCCGGAGUCCAAGUCGGAGUCCAAGUCGGAGUCCAAGUCGGAGGUCAAGCCGGAGUUCAAGCCAGAGUUCAAGUCGAAGUCCAAGUCGGAGGCGGAAUGUGAGUCGACGUCGAAGUCGAACUCGGUGGCGCAAUUUGCGUCUGAGCCGAGUUCGGAAGCGGAAAUUCAGCCGAGCUCUUAGUCGGAUUCGAAGCCCGAGUCCGAGUCAUACUCUGGGUCGGAAUCGAGGCUUUCUAUCGAUAAUAAUUGACAGUUUCAAGCAAACCUUUUAUGCUGUGAAAGCAAAAUAUUUUUGAUCAACUUAUUUUGUUUAUUUCAAACUGUGAAAUGUUUUGAUAAAAUAUUUUUAAAAUAAACACGUUGUCACAUGACAUUUGUAUGUCAAAUACAG